Molecule: ribosomal RNA, 253 nt
Filed under: uncultured bacterium
Lineage: Bacteria
Description: partial 16S ribosomal RNA
Rfam family: Bacterial small subunit ribosomal RNA
Source: RNAcentral
UACGUAGGGGGCAAGCGUUGUCCGGAUUUAUUGGGCGUAAAGAGCGUGUAGGCGGUUUGGUAGGUCCGCUGUGAAAACUCGAGGCUCAACCUCGAGACGCCGGUGGAAACCAUCAGGCUAGAGUCCGGAAGAGGAGAGUGGAAUUCCUGGUGUAGCAGUGAAAUGCGCAGAUAUCAGGAAGAACACCCGUGGCUAAGGCGGCUCUCUAGUACGGUACUGACGCUGAGACGCGAAAGCGUGGGGAGCGAACAGG